AGUAAUGGGAAUUCUGGAUCAAAGGGUUUCAAAUGUUGUGGAGGGAUAAUGGCAUCAAAAGCGGUUUCUCUUCUGUGAGAUUUUUAUGAACAAGGAAACUAUAAUGCUCCAAAGCUUCACAGGCCAUGGGUUAAUCAGGCUUAUCAUUUGAUCUCUGUGCAUUGAUUCUUCUUGUUGAAUCCUCUCCUGCCUUUGUACAACUAGGUAAGACCUUUCAACUUAUGAUUCCUUGUUUUUCUGAACAUCAUGUACAUCAUGUAAAGUUUUAUGAUGCACCUUUGCUGUGUAUUGAAUGAUUAUCAGUUCCUUGUGCAUAUAACAAGUGGGCUGCAUUGUGUGACCUUUCUAUAUUAUAACCUGUUAACAAUGGAAUGACAUUGAUUAG
Syzygium oleosum is the source of this 385-nucleotide long non-coding RNA. RefSeq lists it as uncharacterized. The record is from RefSeq and is a predicted model, not a curated record. The transcript is spliced from 2 exons. Lineage: Eukaryota; Viridiplantae; Streptophyta; Magnoliopsida; Myrtales; Myrtaceae.